UUUAUGCAAAGAAGGGGAACAUGUAAGAAAGAUGGCUGUAUGUUGUAUGUUUCGUUCUUGUUACUCUCGUUCAUUUGUCUGGUUGUUGCCGCAAUAUUCUCAAAUCUCGCAAUAGUUAGUGACUGUCAGGCUGUCGAGGGAUCUUAUCAAUAUACCAUGCAGAAUAGUUACAUUAUCGAGCCUCAGAAUGAUUCAACAUUUGCAACAGCAUCUUAUGUGCAUCAGGAGGAAAAUCAAAAUAAUAAGAGAGCAAAUGAAAAUACCUGUUUGGCACCUAAUAACAAUCAGACGUACUUUGCUGAUGAAAAAGUUCAUAUACCAGAAACAGAAAAUGGUUUCUUUAGUUUUAGAAAAUUAUGGGCUUUCACAGGUCCUGGAUUCUUAAUGUCCAUAGCUUAUUUAGAUCCUGGAAAUAUUGAAUCUGAUUUGCAAUCUGGCGUAGCUGCCAAAUAUAAGUUAUUAUGGGUAUUGUUAAGUGCAACCAUUCUUGGUCUUAUUAUGCAAAGAUUAAGUGCAAGGCUUGGUGUGGUAACAGGUUUGCAUUUAGCAGAAAUGUGUUACAGACAAUAUAAAAAAGUACCCAGGAUGAUUUUAUGGAUAAUGAUAGAAAUAGCCAUAAUUGGCAGUGACAUGCAAGAAGUAAUAGGAACAGCUAUUGCUUUAUCUUUAUUAACAAAUAAAGUGAUUCCUAUAUGGGGUGGUGUUCUUAUUACGAUAAUUGACACUUUUACGUUUUUAUUAUUGGACAAAUAUGGCUUAAGGAAAUUAGAACUCUUUUUUGGAUUUCUUAUUACAAUAAUGGCUGUCACAUUUGGAUAUGAGUACGUUGUUUCUGCCCCACCUCAAAAUGAAGUGAUAAGUGGAAUGUUUAUACCUUGGUAUAAAGAUUAUGACAGAAAUAUGUUGUUACAAGCUGUAGGAAUUGUUGGUGCAGUUAUCAUGCCACAUAACUUAUAUCUUCACAGUGCUCUUGUUAAAUCAAGAGACAUUGACCGUAAAGAAUCCAAAAAAGUGAAUGAGGCAAAUAUGUAUUACUUCAUUGAGGCAUGCAUUGCACUUCUGGUAUCUUUUAUAAUUAACGUAUUUGUUGUCGCAGUGUUUGCGCAUGGUCUUUUUAACAAGACUAGUUUAGAAGUUUACAAUCUGUGUGAAGCUAACAAUUAUACUGUAGGAAUGGAUACAUUUAAGAAAGAGAAUACAACCAUCUCAGUAGACCUUAACAAAGGUGGCAUAUUUUUGGGCUGUGCCUUUGGUGCGGCAGCAAUGUAUAUUUGGGCUGUCGGUAUUUUUGCUGCUGGCCAAUCUUCCACGAUGACAGGAACGUAUGCCGGACAAUUUGCAAUGGAAGGAUUUUUAAAUCUUCAGUGGGCUCGUUGGAAGCGAGUACUUUUUACGCGAAUGAUCGCUAUCAUUCCAACCUUCCUUGUCGCAUUUUUUAGUGACAUUGAUAAUUUAACUGGCAUGAAUGAUAUUUUGAACGCAAUUAUGACUCUUCAGUUACCUUUUGCAACCCUGCCAACGAUAGCAUUUACUAGUAGUCCUAAAAUUAUGGGUACAUUUCGAAACGGAUUAACUAAUAAAAUUGUUGCGACAGCAUUAUCCGCUGUUGUAAUAGCUAUAAAUAUAUAUUUUGUAAUAAAUACUGUCCAAGAUGAUUUGCCACAUCACUGGGCGGUAAUAGUUGCAAUUACAAUAUAUUCUAUUUUAUAUCUUCUAUUUUGCCUUUAUUUGACUAUUCAUAUGGCUGUGAGUAUGGGUGCGACUUCUCUUGGUGACCAUUGGUUCGUAAAGAGAUAUAUUGGAAGUCCUGUAAGUACAACACUUGGAUUAUCAAACCCUGCAAUAUAUGCAAGUUUCUUCAAUACGUCAGAAACAUCAUUAAGACCAUAAUCGAGUUUACAUCAUGAAUCUGCAUCUAACUACUUAAAACCAUAUUUCAAAAGUUGCGUCUUCAUCUGUCUCCAACUUUAUACAUGGUCUAAUCCAGCAUUUAACAUCCAAGAAAAUUGGUCUGGAAGCUUUAACUCGAUACCGGAAUACUGAUAUGACAAAUAAAACGUGGUAAAUAGUAUUUAAUACUCAUGGGUUGCAUUCUCAUAGAGUUAGCAUCAUAGAUUUUAAGAUUUUAUAGAAUUGAAAAUGAUAACUUCCUAUAAAAUAUACUCACCAAAUUGUUUUCUAAAAUUAGGGCUUUAACAUGUAAAAUAAGCAAAG
This is an RNA transcript of Bombus impatiens (common eastern bumble bee), 2214 nucleotides long. It is a transcript of the gene named protein Malvolio, with no coding region annotated. NCBI's taxonomy places the organism in Eukaryota, Metazoa, Arthropoda, Insecta, Hymenoptera, Apidae. The transcript has 13 exons. The record is from RefSeq and is a predicted model, not a curated record.